CUUUUUUAAAUAAAAAUUAUUUUAGUUUUCACGAAGUCCCUUGAGCUAAAAUGUAAAGUUUUUUAGAAAAUAAUUUGAUUGUGGUAAUAAUCAAAAAAUAUAAUAUUUUAGGGGUGAUAGGCCUAUCAAAAUGGACGAUAUCUUGAUAGUUGGGAAAAAUAUUUAGUAUUUAGUCAAACUAAGAUUGUUUAGGAUAUUAGUAUACAAUAAUUAUUGUUUAUUUUAUGUUAAAUAUAUAAUAGUUUUAACUUAUUAGAUUUAAAUACUACUUAAAUUAAUAUUUUGUAAAAUACCAACUUAUUAUUAUGUAAUCUAAAACAAAAUUAAAAAUGAAAAUAUUAGUAUUAUAUAAAAAUUAUAUCAGGAACUCGGCAAAUUUUUACUCGACUGUUUAACAAAAACAUGCCCUUUGAAUUUAUUUGGGGUUUUCCCUGCUCAAUGAACUUUAAAUAGCCGCAGUACUUUGACUGUGCAAAGGUAGCAUAAUCAGUUGGCUUAUAAUUGAAGUCUAGUAUGAAUGGGAUACCGGGUAGUAACUGUCUAAUAAAAUUUACAUAAAAUUUACUUAAUAAGUGAAAAUUCUUAUAUAUAGAUGUUAGACGAGAAGACCCUAGAAAUUUUUUAAAUUAUUAUGUUUUCUAUUUUGUUGGGGCGACAGGUUAACAUAUAACUUAACUAUUUUACACGUUAUUAUUUUGUUGUUUGAAUAAAUUACUCUAGGGAUAACAGCAUUAUUUAUUAUAAGUUUGUGACCUCGAUGUUGGACUAGGGAAUAAUUUACGUAGAAGGUAAUUUUGUGGGCUCUGUUCGAGCUUUUUUCCCCUACAUGAUCUGAGUUCAGACCGG
Molecule: ribosomal RNA, 846 nt
Filed under: Edentiella filicina styriaca
Lineage: Eukaryota; Metazoa; Mollusca; Gastropoda; Stylommatophora; Hygromiidae
Description: partial 16S ribosomal RNA
Source: RNAcentral